Molecule: transfer RNA, 69 nt
Filed under: Ictidomys tridecemlineatus (thirteen-lined ground squirrel)
Lineage: Eukaryota; Metazoa; Chordata; Mammalia; Rodentia; Sciuridae
Also listed under: 1 other name
Description: Spermophilus tridecemlineatus (thirteen-lined ground squirrel) tRNA
Rfam family: tRNA
About the family: Transfer RNA (tRNA) molecules are approximately 80 nucleotides in length. Their secondary structure includes four short double-helical elements and three loops (D, anti-codon, and T loops).
Source: Rfam by way of RNAcentral
GGGGUUGUGGCUCAGCGGUAGAGCACUUGCCUUGCACAUGUGAAGUCCUGGGUUCAAUUCUCAGCACCA